This 875-nucleotide ribosomal RNA is filed under the name Kocuria rosea. RNAcentral's name for it is "bacterial SSU rRNA". It matches the Rfam family "Bacterial small subunit ribosomal RNA", at positions 583 to 1477 of the family's 1533-position model. The record is from RNAcentral. Lineage: Bacteria; Bacillati; Actinomycetota; Actinomycetes; Micrococcales; Micrococcaceae.
UCGCGUCUGCUGUGAAAGCGCUCAACCGGGUCUGCAGUGGGUACGGGCAGACUAGAGUGCAGUAGGGGAGACUGGAAUUCCUGGUGUAGCGGUGAAAUGCGCAGAUAUCAGGAGGAACACCGAUGGCGAAGGCAGGUCUCUGGGCUGUUACUGACGCUGAGGAGCGAAAGCAUAGCGAACAGGAUUAGAUACCCUGGUAGUCCAUGCCGUAAACGUUGGGCACUAGGUGUGGGGGACAUUCCACGUCCGCGCCGUAGCUAACGCAUUAAGUGCCCCGCCUGGGGAGUACGGCCGCAAGGCUAAAACUCAAAGGAAUUGACGGGGGCCCGCACAAGCGGCGGAGCAUGCGGAUUAAUUCGAUGCAACGCGAAGAACCUUACCAAGGCUUGACAUUCACCGGACCGCCAGAGAUGGGGUUUCCCUUCGGGGCUGGUGGACAGGUGGUGCAUGGUUGUCGUCAGCUCGUGUCGUGAGAUGUUGGGUUAAGUCCCGCAACGAGCGCAACCCUCGUUCUAUGUUGCCAGCACGUGAUGGUGGGGACUCAUAGGAGACUGCCGGGGUCAACUCGGAGGAAGGUGGGGAUGACGUCAAAUCAUCAUGCCUUAUGUCUUGGGCUUCACGCAUGCUACAAUGGCCGGUACAAAGGGUUGCGAUACUGUGAGGUGGAGCUAAUCCCAAAAAGCCGGUCUCAGUUCGGAUUGAGGUCUGCAACUCGACCUCAUGAAGUCGGAGUCGCUAGUAAUCGCAGAUCAGCAACGCUGCGGUGAAUACGUUCGGGCCUUGUACACACCGCCCGUCAAGUCACGAAAGUUGGUAACACCGAAGCCGGUGGCCUAACCUUGUGAGGGAGCCGUCGAAGGUGGGACUGGCGAUUG